UACAGAGGUCCCAAGCGUUGUUCGGAUUCAUUGGGCGUAAAGGGUGCGUAGGCGGCGCGGUAAGUCGGGUGUGAAAUCUCGGGGCUUAACUCCGAAACUGCAUACGAUACUGCCGUGCUUGAGGACUGGAGAGGAGACUGGAAUUUACGGUGUAGCGGUGAAAUGCGUAGAUAUCGUAAGGAAGACCAGUGGCGAAGGCGGGUCUCUGGACAGUUCCUGACGCUGAGGCACGAAGGCCAGGGGAGCAAACGGG
This 253-nucleotide ribosomal RNA is filed under the name uncultured bacterium. Its description in RNAcentral is "partial 16S ribosomal RNA". It matches the Rfam family "Bacterial small subunit ribosomal RNA", at positions 524 to 776 of the family's 1533-position model. The record is from RNAcentral.